GAGUUUGAUCCUGGCUCAGGAUGAACGCUGGCGGCGUGCCUAAUACAUGCAAGUCGAGCGAACAGACGAGGAGCUUGCUCCUUUGACGUUAGCGGCGGACGGGUGAGUAACACGUGGAUAACCUACCUAUAAGACUGGGAUAACUUCGGGAAACCGGAGCUAAUACCGGAUAACAUGUUGAACCGCAUGGUUCAACAGUGAAAGACGGUCUUGCUGUCACUUAUAGAUGGAUCCGCGCCGCAUUAGCUAGUUGGUAAGGUAACGGCUUACCAAGGCAACGAUGCGUAGCCGACCUGAGAGGGUGAUCGGCCACACUGGAACUGAGACACGGUCCAGACUCCUACGGGAGGCAGCAGUAGGGAAUCUUCCGCAAUGGGCGAGAGCCUGACGGAGCAACGCCGCGUGAGUGAAGAAGGUCUUCGGAUCGUAAAACUCUGUUAUUAGGGAAGAACAAAUGUGUAAGUAACUAUGCACGUCUUGACGGUACCUAAUCAGAAAGCCACGGCUAACUACGUGCCAGCAGCCGCGGUAAUACGUAGGUGGCAAGCGUUAUCCGGAAUUAUUGGGCGUAAAGCGCGCGUAGGCGGUUUUUUAAGUCUGAUGUGAAAGCCCACGGCUCAACCGUGGAGGGUCAUUGGAAACUGGAAAACUUGAGUGCAGAAGAGGAAAGUGGAAUUCCAUGUGUAGCGGUGAAAUGCGCAGAGAUAUGGAGGAACACCAGUGGCGAAGGCGACUUUCUGGUCUGUAACUGACGCUGAUGUGCGAAAGCGUGGGGAUCAAACAGGAUUAGAUACCCUGGUAGUCCACGCCGUAAACGAUGAGUGCUAAGUGUUAGGGGGUUUCCGCCCCUUAGUGCUGCAGCUAACGCAUUAAGCACUCCGCCUGGGGAGUACGACCGCAAGGUUGAAACUCAAAGGAAUUGACGG
Molecule: ribosomal RNA, 926 nt
Filed under: uncultured Staphylococcus sp.
Lineage: Bacteria; Bacillati; Bacillota; Bacilli; Caryophanales; Staphylococcaceae
Description: bacterial SSU rRNA
Rfam family: Bacterial small subunit ribosomal RNA
Source: RNAcentral